Molecule: ribosomal RNA, 422 nt
Filed under: uncultured archaeon
Lineage: Archaea
Description: partial 16S ribosomal RNA
Rfam family: Archaeal small subunit ribosomal RNA
Source: RNAcentral
CUACGGGGUGCAGCAGUUAGGAAUAUUUUGCAAUGCGCGAAAGCGUGACAAAUUGAGCCAGAGUGAUUUUCAUAUUGAAAAUCUUUUGUGAAAUUUAAAAAGUUUUACGAAUAAGGACUGGGUAAGACUAGUGCCAGCCGCCGCGGUAAUACUAGCGGUCCAAGUCGCAGCCAUUUUUAUUGGGUCUAAAACAUCCGUAGCUUGCUUGAUAAGUUUCUUGUGAAAUUUUAUAUCUUAAAUAUAAAGCGUGCAAGAAUUACUGCCAAGCUAGAGACUGGAAGACGUAAGAAGUACAUGCAGAGUAACAGUAAAAUGUGUUAAUCCUGUAUGGACUCACAACAGCGAAGGCAUCUUACGAGGACAGUUCUGACAGUAAGGGAUGAAGGCUAGGGGCGCAAAACGGAUUAGAUACCCUUGUAGUC